AGCGAACGCUGGCGGCAGGCCUAACACAUGCAAGUCGAACGAACUCUUCGGAGUUAGUGGCGGACGGGUGAGUAACACGUGGGAACGUGCCUUUUGGUUCGGAAUAACUCAGGGAAACUUGUGCUAAUACCGAAUGUGCCCUUCGGGGGAAAGAUUUAUCGCCAUUAGAGCGGCCCGCGUCUGAUUAGCUAGUUGGUGAGGUAACGGCUCACCACGGCGACGAUCAGUAGCUGGUCUGAGAGGAUGACCAGCCACACUGGGACUGAGACACGGCCCAGACUCCUACGGGAGGCAGCAGUGGGGAAUCUUGCGCAAUGGGCGAAAGCCUGACGCAGCCAUGCCGGGUGAAUGAUGAAGGUCUUAGGAUUGUAAAAUUCUUUCACCGGGGACGAUAAUGACGGUACCCGGAGAAGAAGCCCCGGCUAACUUCGUG
RNAcentral lists this ribosomal RNA (433 nucleotides) under uncultured bacterium. RNAcentral's name for it is "partial 16S ribosomal RNA". It matches the Rfam family "Bacterial small subunit ribosomal RNA", at positions 29 to 507 of the family's 1533-position model. The record is from RNAcentral.